This 69-nucleotide transfer RNA is filed under the name Marmota marmota marmota (Alpine marmot). It matches the Rfam family "tRNA". From Rfam's summary of the family: Transfer RNA (tRNA) molecules are approximately 80 nucleotides in length. Their secondary structure includes four short double-helical elements and three loops (D, anti-codon, and T loops). Lineage: Eukaryota; Metazoa; Chordata; Mammalia; Rodentia; Sciuridae. The record is from Rfam by way of RNAcentral. RNAcentral also lists the same sequence under 1 other name.
GGGGUUGUAACUUAGUGGUAGAGUGCUUGCCUAGCAUGUAUGAGGCACUGGUUUCAACUCUCAACACCA